RNAcentral lists this ribosomal RNA (253 nucleotides) under uncultured bacterium. Its description in RNAcentral is "partial 16S ribosomal RNA". It matches the Rfam family "Bacterial small subunit ribosomal RNA", at positions 524 to 776 of the family's 1533-position model. The record is from RNAcentral.
UACAGAGGGGGCAAGCGUUAUUCGGAAUUAUUGGGCGUAAAGGGCGCGUAGGCGGCCUGGCAAGUGGAAGGUGAAAUCCCUCGGCUUAACCGAGGAACUGCCCUCCAAACUGCUUGGCUUGAGUCCGGGAGAGGUGAGUGGAAUUCCCAGUGUAGCGGUGAAAUGCGUAGAUAUCAGGAGGAAUACCGGUGGUGUAGACGGCUCUCUGGACCGCAACUGACGCUGAGACACGAAAGCGUGGGUAGCAAACAGG